This 917-nucleotide ribosomal RNA is filed under the name uncultured bacterium. RNAcentral describes it as "bacterial SSU rRNA". It matches the Rfam family "Bacterial small subunit ribosomal RNA", at positions 8 to 916 of the family's 1533-position model. The record is from RNAcentral.
AGAGUUUGAUCCUGGCUCAGGAUGAACGCUAGCGACAGGCUUAACACAUGCAAGUCGAGGGGCAUCACGUUCGUAGCAAUACGGAUGGUGGCGACCGGCGCACGGGUGAGUAACGCGUAUGCAACCUGCCUAUCAGAGAGGGAUAACCCGUCGAAAGUCGGACUAAUACUUCAUAAGACAGCUGUUCCGCAUGGGGCGGCAAAGUUAAAGGAAAAUUGCUGAUAGAUGGGCAUGCGUUCCAUUAGUUAGUUGGUGAGGUAACGGCUCACCAAGGCGACGAUGGAUAGGGGUUCUGAGAGGAAGGUCCCCCACACUGGUACUGAGACACGGACCAGACUCCUACGGGAGGCAGCAGUGAGGAAUAUUGGUCAAUGGGCGAGAGCCUGAACCAGCCAAGUCGCGUGAAGGAAGACGGAUCUAUGGUUUGUAAACUUCUUUUAUACGGGAAUAACGGUCGUUAUGAAUAACGGCGUGAAUGUACCGUAAUGAAUAAGCAUCGGCUAACUCCGUGCCAGCAGCCGCGGUAAUACGGAGGAUGCGAGCGUUAUCCGGAUUUAUUGGGUUUAAAGGGUGCGUAGGUUGUAGAUUAAGUCAGCGGUGAAAGAUUGUCGCUCAACGAUAAUAAUGCCGUUGAAACUGGUCUACUAGCGUGUAAUAGAAGUAGGCGGAAUGCGUGGUGUAGCGGUGAAAUGCAUAGAUAUCACGCAGAACUCCGAUAGCGAAGGCAGCUUACUAAGUUAUAACGGACACUGAAGCACGAAAGCGUGGGGAUCAAACAGGAUUAGAUACCCUGGUAGUCCACGCCGUAAACGAUGAUUACUAGCUGUUUGCGAUAUAGUGUAAGUGGCAAAGCGAAAGCGUUAAGUAAUCCACCUGGGGAGUACGCCGGCAACGGUGAAACUUAAAGGAAUUGACGG